Molecule: ribosomal RNA, 466 nt
Filed under: uncultured bacterium
Lineage: Bacteria
Description: partial 16S ribosomal RNA
Rfam family: Bacterial small subunit ribosomal RNA
Source: RNAcentral
GAUGAACGCUGGCGGCGUGCUUAACACAUGCAAGUCGAACGGAAAGGCCACAGCUUGCUGUGGUACUCGAGUGGCGAACGGGUGAGUAACACGUGGGUGAUCUGCCCUGUACUUCGGGAUAAGCUUGGGAAACUGGGUCUAAUACCGGAUAGGAAUCACAUGUGGGUGUGUGGUUGGAAAGCUUUUGCGGUAUGGGAUGAGCUCGCGGCCUAACAGCUUGUUGGUGGGGUAAUGGCCUACCAAGGCGUCGACGGGUAGCCGGCCUGAGAGGGUGUACGGCCACAUUGGGACUGAGAUACGGCCCAGACUCCUACGGGAGGCAGCAGUGGGGAAUAUUGCACAAUGGGCGCAAGCCUGAUGCAGCGACGCCGCGUUGGGGAUGACGGCCUUCGGGUUGUAAACUCCUUUCGUCAGGGACGAAGCGAAAGUGACGGUACCUGGAUAAGAAGCACCGGCUAACUACGUG